ACAGAAUUCAUCCUUCUGCUGCAUAUAAGAAAUUCACCUCAACAUCAAAGAGAAGUUAUCUCACAGUAAAAGAUGACUCAUCAAUUGCCACUGCAGUCUCCAAUUUCUUUCUCCUUCUCAGGCACCCGCCUCAUCUUUCAACAUUCACAGAAUGCAACUCUUGCAAAAUAGUUUUUUUUUCUUAUGAAUCACUCCCAGGAAUAUGUCCCCAAGGACACACACUAUGAAGAACUUGUUGGAUGAAAGACAACAACAAAGACAUAACAAGGUAUCUAUUAGGAUGGAAGGAUCCCAAACAGAUAGAAGAUUAUCUGUCCUGGUCUAUUGUGCGGAAGAUUUGAUGUAUUUGCAACAUGGAUUGAUCAAUCUCAUUAUCAGAGGUUAGUUACACGGUGCUUCAUAAGGCCCGGUGGAUGGAGUCUAAGGCAUCUGUGUGUGUG
Molecule: long non-coding RNA, 440 nt
Organism: Mus musculus (house mouse)
Lineage: Eukaryota; Metazoa; Chordata; Mammalia; Rodentia; Muridae
Product: predicted gene, 39638
Exons: 4
Source: RefSeq, a predicted model, not a curated record